UGUCCAGAAACUCCUAUCCCUACCUCCGCGUGGUACCUGCUAGAAACUACGAGCAACCUUAGGGAAGAACGGGUAAGCAACCCCGGUGGGAACUUUGGUCGUAGACUAACAGGAAAGG
Aedes albopictus (Asian tiger mosquito) is the source of this 118-nucleotide non-coding RNA. The record is from Rfam. NCBI's taxonomy places the organism in Eukaryota, Metazoa, Arthropoda, Insecta, Diptera, Culicidae.